AUCAGAGGAGACACCUUCAGCUCAUACAAUCAGCUCACACAAUUUAUUUCCUAGAGUUUGGCCAGUAACGCUUUCUACUCAAACAGCGUUUUGAAAGCGCUGUCACCUUUCCCGAGAUUGCCGUCCAGCCACCCACGCUAGUGGGACGCUGCGGAACGCAGUGAAACGCCCCCAGUGCACAAGGCUCCUACCUGUCCGUUGCCGCCGCCCGCUUUGCACCACCUGCUGCGAGGACUGGCUGGCCCACUGGCUCUCCCUCCUCCACCAGCGCUUGGGCACCGGGAAAAGGAUGUUUUGUAACUUUUGGCUAGAACUUCCAGAGGCCGAACAGGAAAUGUCCUCUGGGACAUGGAACUCAAGGAGUAAUCUCGGGUCUUCCUGGAAGCCACUUGCAACAACGAGAGAAAUGAACCAGAGAACUUCUCAUGCUACUCCAGUGGAUUUUUGGCCACUUCUGAUGAUUCACGCGGAUUUGGCAGAGCCAGGUUGCUUCAGCUGGAUCUUGACAUUACAACUGAUUCGUGUUUGUUUGCUGUUGAACUGGACUGCUGGUCUCCUAACAACGAAGAGUGGGAUUUUCCCCCAAGGAACUACUGCUAAGCAGGCCCACAACCCUGCUUUCCUAUUAAACUUCUUUCCCCCA
This is a long non-coding RNA of Mus musculus (house mouse), 643 nucleotides long. RefSeq annotates it as predicted gene, 39144. NCBI's taxonomy places the organism in Eukaryota, Metazoa, Chordata, Mammalia, Rodentia, Muridae. The transcript is spliced from 2 exons. The record is from RefSeq and is a predicted model, not a curated record.